RNAcentral lists this long non-coding RNA (643 nucleotides) under Heterocephalus glaber (naked mole-rat). RNAcentral describes it as "lncRNA (ENSHGLG00100042630.1)". Lineage: Eukaryota; Metazoa; Chordata; Mammalia; Rodentia; Bathyergidae. The record is from RNAcentral.
UGCAAAUCCGAUUUGCUCUCCUGAAGGCUGUGGCCCAGGCUCCCCUUCUACAACAGCAAACCAUUCUGUUUCCAGAGGUAAUGGAAUUAAAAGGUGUGGUUUUCCCCUCACUGGCUGUGUUACUGCCUCUCUGGGCUGUGUGCUGAGCAGUGCUGUGAAUAAUAGAAGUCUAUUUUUGUAACGUUCUGGGAUUGUAGGCUGAACUAACUUCUAGAGUGAAUGUUAGGAGAAAACACAGCAAAUGAUCAAUUUUUCUUUUUCCCUUUAGGGAACAAAAUAUUCAGAUUUUGAAUAAGAAUCCAGUUUAUGAAAGAUGCUGCUGUGUAGUAGCAAACCACUGGCCUCAGAGGUUGGAUCUUCACUUUGUCAUUUGCUACCUGAAUAACCUGGGCCAACUCACUGAACUCCCCACAAUGCAGGGUCCCAGUCUAUGUACUAAUGGGGAUGACAAUAUCUCCUUCAGCAAAAAUGGAUUAGACGUAGGCCUCUUGUUACCGACAUCACCAGAGCAUUUUCCUCCCUUCAUGUGAUCUUGUAACCUCUAUGUUGGUCCUUUGGACACGAAAAAGACCUUCUGUGUUGAGCCAAGAGCAGGUCCCUCACAAGGCCAAGGGAGGAGUGCUUUGCUGUUGCCAGGAGCGUC